Molecule: ribosomal RNA, 254 nt
Filed under: uncultured bacterium
Lineage: Bacteria
Description: partial 16S ribosomal RNA
Rfam family: Bacterial small subunit ribosomal RNA
Source: RNAcentral
UACGAAGGGGGCUAGCGUUGUCCGGAUUUAUUGGGCGUAAAGAGCUCGUAGGUGGCUUAGUAAGUCGGGUGUGAAACCUCCAGGCUCAACCUGGAGACGCCACCCGAUACUGCUAUAGCUUGAGUCCGGUAGGGGAGCGUGGAAUUCCUGGUGUAGCGGUGAAAUGCGCAGAUAUCAGGAGGAACACCAGCGGCGAAGGCGGCGCUCUGGGCCGGUACUGACACUGAGGAGCGAAAGCGUGGGGAGCAAACAGG